This is a non-coding RNA of Triticum aestivum (bread wheat), 135 nucleotides long. NCBI's taxonomy places the organism in Eukaryota, Viridiplantae, Streptophyta, Magnoliopsida, Poales, Poaceae. The record is from Rfam.
AAAGUACUCCCUCCGUCCCAAAAUUCUUGUCUUAGAUUUGUCUAGAUACGGAUGUAUCAAGUCACAUUUUAGUAUUAGAUACAUCCGUAUCUAGACAAAUCUAAGACGAGAAAUUUGGGACAAAGGGAGUAGUUG